ACCUUAAAUCUGUCAGAUUCUUUUGACAUUUGGGAGAGCCAUGAUAAGUCAUCCUUAGGGAAAUUUAAACCAAAACAAUCGUGAUGAUUGCGGAUAAUAUAGCAGGUGCAGUGUUAGUUGAUGAAGAAGCCGAGGAUCAUCAACGAGGCUUACGUAGAUUAUUAGAUGCGCGACGUAGGGCAAUUAGACGUACCUCAAAUCCCCUUGAAGAUUUGCCGGACUCGGUCUUCAAUAAAUACUACAGGGUUAGCAAGGAUUUUAUACGAGAACUGUGUGAACGAGUGGAACCCCACCUGCCAACUGAAGGCUUCACAUCCACGAUGUCGACACAGAUCAGUUUGGAUAAUAUUGAAUGCUAAUGACAUUAGAGGUUCAUUAAUUUCUAACCAAUUAUCAACCAUUAAUUUAUCACCAAUUAUAGAUCUUAUGCACGUUGCACUUUUUGGCUACUGGAAGCUAUCAAAGUCACGUUGGAGAGUCUAUGGACAUUGCAAUGUCUCAGCCAAAUGUGAGCCGCGUAAUUAAGAAUGUUACAGAAGCCAUUCUACAGCUUGAGAAUGAAUUCAUCAGUUUUCCUCGCACUGAAAAUGAGCGGCGAGUAAUUUCCGAAGGUUUAGAUUUCGAGGGAUGUGUCACUUUCCGGGAGUAAUAGGUUGUGUUGAUGGUACACAUAUUCCCAUUACCACUCCCUCCAGGGAGGCCUGGUCGUUCUUGAAUCAUAAAAGGUUUCACAGUCUUAAUGUUCAAGCAACGUGUGACGACAAGAGGUGUAUCACACCUUUAGAAGUGUUUGCAGGGACGACUCACGAUUCACGCGUGUGGAACGGCUCACAAGUCAAAGCUGAAAUUUGUCGUGUCAAUGGGGAAGGUCUUGGACCCUAUUAUCUACUCGGUGAAAAUAAUUCAUGUUUUCUUAUUCAUUAAAGUUUUUUUUGUCAUGUACACGCUCAAUCCUAGACGGAAUGCAUCAUAAAUAUUUAUUAUAAUAUGUCAGCUUCGCUGAAAUCUGUUUUUCUAUGCUUCAUGCAGUUCUUCUUUGUCCACAAAUUCAGCCUCAUCCUCCUGUACAUCAGGGUCUCUGAAAAAUAUAUUCAAUUACAUAUGUAUUCAAAUGAAUUAUUUCCUCAGGAGAUAAGGGAUACCCUUUGGGACCCUGUGUAGUGAUUCCGUAUAUGGCACCAGGUGCUGGAAGUCCAGAAGCACGCUUUAAUACGCGACAUAUGCAUACGAGAUGUAUAAUUGAAUGCACAUUUGGAAACUUGAAAGGGAAGUGGCGGUGUUUGAAACGUGAUAGAACACUGAACUAUCAGCCCUACAAAGCUUCUCGCUUACUAAAGUAUUGUGUUAUUCUACACAAUAUACUGAUUGGUCGAAGAGAUCCAGUAUACUUGGAUGAGAACUUUCCCCCAGAAGUGAACGACAUGGCCAGAGUCAUGGAUGAUGAAGAAGAGGGUCAAUGUGCCCUCGAUGAAGGUCGUGCACUUAGGAAUCGAAUCGUCGAGGAGUUUUUUUAAAUUUUUGGACAAUGAAGUUAUCAUUUCAAAAUUGUUCUCACCUUUCAUUUCCAACAUCUUCAUCUGCGUCUGUAUUUUGGUUUACUGGCGCCUCGUCUUCACUGUGAUCAAUAUUCAUCCCAUCAGCAAUCUUUUCCAAAGCCCUCACGCCACGAGGUAACCAUGUUUCCAACGUUGUAGAAAUCCUCUGUCAAUCAAAAAAAUUAUCCGAAUAAAAUAAAG
Diachasma alloeum is the source of this 1736-nucleotide RNA transcript. It is a transcript of the gene named putative nuclease HARBI1, with no coding region annotated. The transcript has 4 exons. NCBI's taxonomy places the organism in Eukaryota, Metazoa, Arthropoda, Insecta, Hymenoptera, Braconidae. The record is from RefSeq and is a predicted model, not a curated record.